Molecule: non-coding RNA, 393 nt
Organism: Cyanistes caeruleus (blue tit)
Lineage: Eukaryota; Metazoa; Chordata; Aves; Passeriformes; Paridae
Source: RefSeq, a predicted model, not a curated record
AUGUCACCGUGCAGCCAGCACAGGUUUCCUUUCUGAGCCAGCCCAUCCCAGCCAUAAAACUCCCUGCCAAGGCAAAUUGGAUUAAGCUCAGAUCAGAUUGUGUGAGAGCUGGGCUGUGGGGACUUUUCACUCUGGCCUUUCUUCAGCAAAAAGAGCUCCAGAGGCUCAGCGUGACAACAAGAGGGAAAAAGGGAGAGAGCCUGGAGCCAUGAAGAGAAAACUGGGCUCCCAGGGAGAGGAGAACAAAGGGAGAUAAGAUGCAAGCCCUGAAACAUAGUGGCUGACGGAGGUGGCCCAUCAAAAACCAUCUAUAUGAAACCAAAACUACAUCCAGAUUGAGAGAAGAUGGCUCAGACGUUCUGCAGGCAGAUUAUACAAGCAUGUGGAAGGCAA